Long non-coding RNA from Oncorhynchus keta (chum salmon), 472 nucleotides. RefSeq lists it as uncharacterized. Lineage: Eukaryota; Metazoa; Chordata; Actinopteri; Salmoniformes; Salmonidae. The transcript has 2 exons. The record is from RefSeq and is a predicted model, not a curated record.
CUGACAACACUGUCAUGGCUCUAGGAUCGGUAUUUCUGAUGCAUUUCAUUGACCAGUCAUCUGUACAGUGUGAGUCAGUAGCGUUCGAAGGGUUCAGUUGUCUGCGCCUCGUGUUGGAAACCGAACACAGCGGAUACAUGAAGAUGUUCUGUCAGAGGAUGUGGUUUUGGUACGAGAGAGCAAGGGGAAGAGGAAGGGAGGAGUCUGUUCUCUCUCUCUCUCUCGUCGUCUCUGGGAAGAACCAGAAUAGAUGAGCGACAGGUGAGCGUAUUGGAAGGAGAGGACUGAGGUUAGGAUCCAGUUGUUGUUUUAACUUGUGUUUUUAGAGUGUCUUGGGGAGGAUGGUCUGUGUGUUGGAGACAAUGCUUUGAUGAGUGAGAGAAAGCGAGGGAUGAUGGAGAGAGAUGAGACUGAAGGCUUCACUCGGACUUCCUGGGCUACCCACUCCACCAGCCCACCAGACCAUGCAGGA